UCAACCCAGUUUCGAUUCAGGUUGGGUAUGGCAUUAUUGCCAUUGUCACUUGAUGCCUUUUAAAGGCAUCAGGCGGCAUUGGGAAGGCCUAAGAAGGCUUUUCCAACGCAAUUUGAAAGCGGCUCCAAUGCUUUUCUGAUUCAGGCUAUCAAAAAAAAGAUCCAAGACUAAAUAAGGUAUGCUUCCUCUCUCCUAUCUUCUUUCCUCCUUUUUAGAUAUGCUGAAUAAGAUAUGAAUAUCUAAGAAAGGUAUUGCCACUCGACCCAAAUUUUAGAUAUCGUCAUGUAUGUUGGAUUUUAAAUAUAUGUAAUUGAUUGUAUUAUUUUUAAUUUUUACGUCACUACUUGAUUUGAAGAUAUUUUAUAUUGUUCAUUUUA
Molecule: long non-coding RNA, 377 nt
Filed under: Phoenix dactylifera (date palm)
Lineage: Eukaryota; Viridiplantae; Streptophyta; Magnoliopsida; Arecales; Arecaceae
Description: long non-coding RNA (PDAC_LNC015112)
Source: RNAcentral